CAAAUGGUGACUCCCUGCAGGGAGACAGUGUGGCGGAGCUGGUCCAAGUCUGCUGGAUCUGUCAUGGCCAGUUCGUACUGUAAGGGCACAAGGUGAGACCCAGAUGCAGACACGGGACGCAGAUUGUUUGAGUCUCUGAUAUUUAUUAGAAUCCAAAAAGGUUAGGCAAGAGAAUGGUUGUGGACAGGCAAAAGAUCAAAACCAGGCCAGAGUCCUGGCGGUACAGAGUGGCAGGCAGGCUCGAGGUCAGGGCAGGCAGAAUGGUCAGGCAGGCAAGUACAGAGUCCAGACAGGCAAGGGUCACAACCAGGGGGACUAGCAAAAACAGAGCGCUGGAGAAAGCGGGAGAACAGGAAAAACCACACUGGUUGACUUGACAAACAAGACGAACUGGCAACAUACAAGCAGGGAACACAGGAAUAAGUACCCAGGCACUAAUGAGGAAAACAGGUGACACCUGGGAGGUGGGUGGAAACAAUCACAAAGACAGGACAUUUUCAUCCAUUUAUUGCCUGCUCAAAAGCACCCAGGUUGAGAGGUUGAAGACAUAGUGAGAGGUGAGAGGAGGAUAAGAGGAUGAAAGGAACAGAGCAGAAAAAGAGAAAAGAAAACACAGGGCUCAGGGUCUGUGAAGAUCCAGAAGUUUGCAGACAGUGACAUCACACAGCAAAGUCUGCUUAAAGAUGAAGAGCCACCUGUGAGACAAAUGCUUUCAGUAAUUGUUCCAAAAGGAUUGGAUGCAAAACGUCAAUGGUAUCUCUAUGAUGAGAAGGCCUUCACUGCUGAAGAGUGUAGGGACAUCCCCACCCCUUUCCCAUCAGUCCCUAAUCCUGGGAGGAUGGCUUACUUUGAGGACUCUGACUGACUCUGAAAAUAAUUCAGUAACUUCGCACGCACACACACACACACACACACACACUAACAACUUAAAGAACUCAAGUAGAUCUAGGCCUACAGUAAUGUUUAGCAGUUACAUAAUUUAAAUACAAAUCUGAACUGUCAUUAUAAAUUGUAAAUAUAGUAUUAUAAACUGGGUGUGUCAAGCCCUGAAUGCUGAUUGGCUGAAUAUACACUGCUCAAAAAAAUAAAGGGAACACUAAAAUAACACAUCCUAGAUCUGAAUGAAUGAAAUAAUCUUAUUAAAUACUUUUUUCUUUACAUAGUUGAAUAUGCUGACAACAAAAUCACAAAAAUAAUCAAUGGAAAUCCAAUUUAUCAACCCAUGGAGGUCUAGAUUUGGAGUCACACUCAAAAUUAAAGUGGAAAACCACACUACAGGCUAAUCCAACUUUGAUGUAAUGUCCUUAAAACAAGUCAAAAUGAGGCUCAGUAGUGUGUGUGGCCUCCACGUGCCUGUAUGACCUCCCUACAACGCCUGGGCAUGCUCCUGAUGAGGUGGCGGAUGGUCUCCUGAGGGAUCUCCUUCCAGAUCUGGACUAAAGCAUCCGCCAACUCCUUGACAGUCUGUGGUGCAACGUGGCGUUGGUGGAUGGAGCGAGACAUGAUGUCCCAGAUGUGCUCAAUUGGAUUCAGGUCUGGGGAAUGGGCGGGCCAGUCCAUAGCAUCAAUGCCUUCCUCUUGCAGGAACUGCUGACACACUCCAGCUACAUGAGGUCUAGCAUUGUCUUGCAUUAGGAGGAACCCAGGGCCAACCGCACCAGCAUAUGGUCUCGCAAGGGGUCUGAGGAUCUCAUCUCGGUACCUAAUGGCAGUCAGGCUACCUCUGGCGAGCACAUGGAGGGCUGUGCGGCCCCCCAAAGAAAUGCCACCCCACACCAUGACUGACCCACCGCCAAACCGGUCAUGCUGGAGGAUGUUGCAGGCAGCAGAACGUUCUCCACGGCGUCUCCAGACUCUGUCACGUCUGUCACGUGCUCAGUGUGAACCUGCUUUCAUCUGUGAAGAGCACAGGGCGCCAGUGGCGAAUUUGCUAAUCUUGGUGUUCUCUGGCAAAUGCCAAACGUCCUGCACGGUGUUGGGCUGUAAGCACAACCCCCACCUGUGGACGUUGGGCCCUCAUACCACCCUCAUGGAGUCUGUUUCUGACCGUUUGAGCAGACACAUGCACAUUUGUGGCCUGCUGGAGGUCAUUUUGCAGGGCUCUGGCAGUGCUCCUCCUGCUCCUCCUUGCACAAAGGCGGAGGUAGCGGUCCUGCAGCUGGGUUGUUGCCCUCCUACGGCCUCCUCCACGUCUCCUGAUGUCCUGGCCUGUCUCCUGGUAGCGCCUCCAUGCUCUGGACACUACGCUGACAGACACAGCAAACCUUCUUGCCACAGCUCGCAUUGAUGUGCCAUCCUGGAUGAGCUGCACUACCUGAGCCACUUGUGUGGGUUGUAGACUCCGUCUCAUGCUACCACUAGAGUGAAAGCACUGCCAGCAUUCAAAAGUGACCAAAACAUCAGCCAGGAAGCAUAGGAACUGAGAAGUGGUCUGUGGUACCCACCUGCAGAACCACUCCUUUAUUGGGGGUGUCUUGCUAAUUGCCUAUAAUUUCCACCUGUUGUCUAUUCCAUUUGCACAACAGCAUGUGAAAUUUAUUGUCAAUCAGUGUUGCUUCCUAAGUGGACAGUUUGAUUUCACAGAAGUGUGAUUGACUUGGAGUUACAUUGUAUUGUUUAAGUGUUCCCUUUAUUUUUUUGAGCAGUGUAUAUAUCAGACCAUAUACCACAUCUAUGACAAAACAUGUAUUUUUACUGUUCUAAUUAUGUUGGUAACCAGUUUAUAGUAGCGAUAAGGCACCCCGGGCUUGCGUCGUGCCUAAGAACAGCCCUUAGCCGUAGAAUAUUGACAAUAUACCAUAACCCCUCGUUCCUUAUUGCUUAAUUACAUAAUCAGAAUAUUGUAAUUAUUGUAUAAUUAUAUAUAGCCUUUAAUAUAAUUAUUAUAGUUAAUCUUUGGUGAUCUUUCACCCUGUAUCCACCCUGUUAAUGAACUUUAAACUGAUGUGAAAAAUAAAUGAUACAAAGAAAUAAUAAUAUUGGCUCUGAAAUGUGUUCAUUCUACUGCUACCAAUAGUUCAACACGAUAGUUGUUAAAUAAUUUUUUCUAUGUGAUAUUUUAUUGCAAAUAAUAUGAAUAAGUGUUUCAAAAGAUAUAUGUAAUAAACAACCCAAUAGAGUGUUGGUGUUUUUCUUUCAGGCUUUCUUAGAAUUAGAAUGAAAUUCAAUGGAAUCCUUGAACGCAGUUUUUCUCUUUUUACUUUGGAGAUGUAGAUGACUUUCAAAUAUAA
This 3230-nucleotide long non-coding RNA is filed under the name Salmo salar (Atlantic salmon). RNAcentral's name for it is "lncRNA (ENSSSAG00000103508.1)". The record is from RNAcentral. Lineage: Eukaryota; Metazoa; Chordata; Actinopteri; Salmoniformes; Salmonidae.